Molecule: small nuclear RNA, 164 nt
Organism: Arvicola amphibius (Eurasian water vole)
Lineage: Eukaryota; Metazoa; Chordata; Mammalia; Rodentia; Cricetidae
Product: U1 spliceosomal RNA
Exons: 1
Source: RefSeq, a predicted model, not a curated record
AAACUUGCACGGCAGGGUAGAUUCCUUGACCAGGAAGGUGGUUUUCCCAGGGUGAGGCUUUGCUGCUUCCCUCCAGGUGUGCUGACCUCUGUGAUUUCCCCCAACGUGAGACACUCGGGCGCAUCAUCUGAGGUAUUGGGGAACUGCAUUUGAAUUCUCUCCUU